GUGGCGAACUGGUGAGUAACGCUUGGGGAACCUGCCCUUGAGUGGGGAACACGUCCGAAAGACGUAAAUUCCGCAUGACGUCUCUGGUCCGCAUGGAUCGGUGACCAAAGGUGCCCUCUGACAUAAGGUGCCGCUCGAGGAUGGCCCCGAGUCCUAUUAGCUAGUUGGUAGGGUAACGGCCUACCAAGGCUCUGAUGGGUAGCUGGCCUGAGAGGGUGGUCAGCCACACUGGGACUGAGAUACGGCCCAGACUCCUACGGGAGGCAGCAGUCGAGAGGCUUCGGCAAUGGGCGAAAGCCCGACCGAGCGACGCCGCGUGGGCGAUGAAGGCCUUCGGGUCGUAAAGCCCUGUCACAGGGGGAGAAACGCACGCAGCUGAAUAGGCUGUGUGCCUGACGUUGCCCCUGGAGAAAGACCCGGCUAACUCCGUGCCAGCAGCCGCGGUAAUACGGAGGGGUCAAGCGUUAUUCGGAUUUACUGGGCGUAAAGGGCGCGUAGGCGGGAUCACGGGUCGGCCGUGAAAUCCACCGGCUCAACCGGUGAACUGCGGUCGAAACUCUGAUUCUUGAGCUUGGUAGAGGAAGGCGGAAUUCCUGGUGUAGCGGUGGAAUGCGUAGAUAUCAGGAAGAACACCGGUAGCGAAGGCGGCCUUCUGGGCCAUGGCUGACGCUGAGGCGCGAAAGCUGGGGGAGCAAACAGGCUUAGAUACCCUGGUAGUCCCA
RNAcentral lists this ribosomal RNA (722 nucleotides) under uncultured Desulfomicrobiaceae bacterium. RNAcentral's name for it is "bacterial SSU rRNA". It matches the Rfam family "Bacterial small subunit ribosomal RNA", at positions 95 to 798 of the family's 1533-position model. Lineage: Bacteria; Pseudomonadati; Thermodesulfobacteriota; Desulfovibrionia; Desulfovibrionales; Desulfomicrobiaceae. The record is from RNAcentral.